GUUAUUUUGGCAGAUUAGUGCACCGAAUUUAGAAUUCGAUUAUGUAUUUAUUACAAAUAAUA
Molecule: transfer RNA, 62 nt
Filed under: Thyrophygus sp.
Lineage: Eukaryota; Metazoa; Arthropoda; Diplopoda; Julida; Julidae
Also listed under: 1 other name
Description: tRNA-Leu(CUN)
Source: RNAcentral